GCGAGAGUGGUGAAAUUGGUAGACACGCCAGACUUAGGAUCUGGUGCCGCAGGCGUAAGGGUUCAAGUCCCUUCUCUCGCA
RNAcentral lists this transfer RNA (81 nucleotides) under Treponema sp. RNAcentral's name for it is "tRNA-Leu". It matches the Rfam family "tRNA". Rfam says of the family: Transfer RNA (tRNA) molecules are approximately 80 nucleotides in length. Their secondary structure includes four short double-helical elements and three loops (D, anti-codon, and T loops). Further hydrogen bonds mediate the characteristic L-shaped molecular structure. tRNAs have two regions of fundamental functional importance: the anti-codon, which is responsible for specific mRNA codon recognition, and the 3' end, to which the tRNAs corresponding amino acid is attached (by aminoacyl-tRNA synthetases). tRNAs cope with the degeneracy of the genetic code in two manners: having more than one tRNA (with a specific anti-codon) for a particular amino acid; and 'wobble' base-pairing, i.e. permitting non-standard base-pairing at the 3rd anti-codon position. The record is from RNAcentral. RNAcentral also lists the same sequence under 4 other names. Lineage: Bacteria; Pseudomonadati; Spirochaetota; Spirochaetia; Treponematales; Treponemataceae.